GAUGAACGUUGGCGGCGUGGAUUAGGCAUGCAAGUCGAGCGAGAAGGUUCCUUCGGGAACCGGAAAGCGGCGAACGGGGUAGUAAUGCGUAGGUGACGUGCCCUUGGGGCCGGAAUAGCUACGGGAAACUGUAGGUAAUGCCGGAUAACCUCCCGAUUUUUGAAGAUAACGGGAGCAAUGGGUGUGAUUCCACCCAUGGAGCGGCCUGCGUGGUAUUAGCUAGUUGGUGAGGUAAUGGCUCACCAAGGCUCAGAUGCCUAGGGGGUGUGAGAGCAUGGCCCCCACCACUGGGACUGAGAUACGGCCCAGACACCUACGGGUGGCUGCAGUCGAGAAGCUUCGGCAAUGGACGAAAGUCUGACCGAGCGACGCCGCGUGCGGGAUGAAGGCCCUCGGGUUGUAAACCGCUGUCAGAGGGGAUGAAAUGCGCAUGGGUUCUCCCAUACGCUUGACAGAGCCUCAGAGGAAGCACGGGCUAAGUACGUGCCAGCAGCCGCCGUAACAC
This 505-nucleotide ribosomal RNA is filed under the name uncultured bacterium. Its description in RNAcentral is "bacterial SSU rRNA". It matches the Rfam family "Bacterial small subunit ribosomal RNA", at positions 28 to 526 of the family's 1533-position model. The record is from RNAcentral.